RNAcentral lists this long non-coding RNA (3463 nucleotides) under Manihot esculenta (cassava). RNAcentral describes it as "long non-coding RNA (MESC_LNC000305)". The record is from RNAcentral. Lineage: Eukaryota; Viridiplantae; Streptophyta; Magnoliopsida; Malpighiales; Euphorbiaceae.
AUCACCUAUCCACCUCUUACAGUUCCCUUUGAACUGAAAUCAGGUUUGAUUCAUCAUCUCCCUAAAUUUAGAGGUUUGCAAAAUGAAAAUCCACAUAAGCACUUAAAAGAAUUUAAAAUUAUUUGCUCAUCCAUGAGACCUCAAGGGAUCUCUGAAGAUCAUGUUAAACUAAGAGCCUUCCCAUUUUCAUUAGAUGACCAUGCUAAGGAUUCGUUAUUUUAUUUGCCACCUGGAUCUAUAACUUCUUGGGAUGAUAUGGUCCAAGCCUUUUUGGACAAAUACUUCCCACCAUCUAAAUCAAUUGGCAUAAUAAGAGAAAUCACUAGCAUAAGGCAAAAACCAACUGAGGACUUAUAUGAUUAUUGGGAAAGGUUUGAAAGAUAUGUACAGGUUGUCCACAACAUGAUAUGUCAGACAAAGCCCUCAUUCAGUUCUUCUAUGGAGGAUUGAUUCCAUCAGAAAGGAAACUCAUAAAUGUAGCCUGUGGAGGAUCUAUCUUAGACAAGACACCAAGGGAGAUAAAGGAACUAAUAUCCAAUCUUGCAGCUUCAUCUAAGCAAUAUGAAGAAGAGGGGCAAACGCAAAGAGGAAUCUAUGAGGUAAGAACAUCCUCUGUUGAAUCUAAAAUUUCAAAACUAACAUCUCUUGUGGAAAAGAUCGCCCUUGGCCAAGUGCAACAGAUUCAAGCACCCCAGCCUCCUAGGCCAUGUGAGAUCUGUUUACAUGUAGGACACCCCACUGAUCAGUGUCCUACUCUCCAAGAAGAUCAUCGCCAAGUCAAUGCUAUUGGGAGGUACAACAACCAACCUAGAUAUGAUCCAUACUCCAAUACAUACAAUCCAGGUUGGAAAGAUCACCCUAAUUUUAGCUAUGGAAAGAGCAACAGUGAUCAGAACUACCAAAGUUACCAAAGAAAUCAAGCCCAACCAGCACCUUCAAAUCCAAAUCAGAACCUUGAGAAGAUCAUGCAAACAAUGAUGGAAACAAUGGUGAGCACCAUGCAAGGCGUGCGACAAGACCUAGGCCAAAUGACCACAUCUAUGCAAGGCGUGCGAUAAGACCUAGGCCAAAUGACCACAUCUAUGCAAGGCGUGCGACAGGACCUAAGCCAAAUGGCCACCUCUAUAGGCCAACUGCAAUCCCAAGGUAAGCUCCCUUCUCAAACUGAAACCAACCCUAGACAGAAUGUUAGUGCUAUUACUUUGAGAAGUGGCAAAGAGCUUCAAGAUACUAAUCAUGAGCAAGAAAAAGAACCAAAGCCACCUGAAGCCUCUCCAUCGCAAUCCGCAGCUCCUCCUGCGCAAAAGACUGACCCAAAGGUAAGCUUUCACAUUCCACCUCCUUUUUCCAAGAGAUUUGAAAGAACACAAAAAGAAAAGGAAGAAAAGGAGAUCCUUGACACUUUCAGAAAAGUACAAAUCAAUAUACCUCUGCUAGAUGCUGUUAAGCAGAUUCCCAGGUACGCUAAAUUUCUGAAAGAACUUUGCACUAAUAGGAGAAAGCUUGCAGAGAGAGAAAAAGUAAGUGUAGGUGAGGUUGUGACUGCUGUCAUUAAAAGAGAACUCCCUACUAAAUGCAAAGACAAAGGUAUGUUUGCUAUCUCUUGCAAGAUAGGGAAUGUUGGUAUAAGGAAAGCCAUGUGUGAUCUUGGUGCAUCCAUAAAUGUCAUGCCUUUCUCCAUCUAUAAAUCUCUCAAUGCAUGUGCACUAAAAGAAACAAGAGUUGUGAUUCAACUAACUGAUAGAUCUGUGGUAUAUCCCAUAGGUGUUCUAGAAGAUGUGUUAGUCCAAGUAAAUGAGCUUGUCUUUCCUGCUGAUUUUUAUGUGAUUGAUACUAAGGAAGAUAGUUAUAAUACUAGUUCUGAUAUCCUUCUUGGACGUCCUUUCUUGAGUACUGCUAGAACUAAGAUUGAUGUGCAUGAUGGUACUCUCACUAUGGAAUUUGAAGGGGAAGUCAUCAAAUAUAAUGUCUAUGAUUCCAUGAAAUAUCCACAUGAUAUAUCCCCUGUUUAUGGUCUUGAUAUUGUUGACUGCUUGAGCCAGUAAAUUUUUAAUGAAAAUCAAGAUGAUAUUCUUAACAGUGAUUUCUGCAGAGAUACUGAUCAGGUACAGAUUAAGAAGGAGCCAAAACCUAAGGAAACGGUUUGUAGCAUCCAACAGAUAGUUUGCAGUCAAGCGCAGAUUGGAGAAAACUCAGUUGCAGCACUUCAGAAUGGUGUGCAGACCCUUCUUGAGCAAAAAGAGGCACCUGAAGACCCCUUAGGCGCAUCCUUUCAGCCUCCCACGCAAAACAGCUCCAUUCCGCCCCCCUUUCAGUAUACUCCUGCGCAAGAAGAAGCACCUGAAAGCCUUUCAAGCACAUCAUCUCAGUCCCAAUCUCAAAUCUCUCCCACUCUCUAUCCAACGCAGACAAGCCAAGCACGAAUGGAAAAAGGAGAGCCUAGUUCAGUCAGAAAUCCAUCUCAGAAAAUCUCAGAAUCAGAUCUGAAGCCUCUUCCAGGCCAUCUGAAAUACAUAUACUUAGGAGCUGACAAGACACUACCAGUAAUAGUGUCCAAUGAAUUGAACCAACAUGAAGAAGCAAGCCUCCUGAAAGUACUGCAGAAACACAAAGGAGCCAUAGGAUGGACCAUUGAUGACAUAAAAGGUAUUUCUCCUUCCACAUGCAUGCAUAGAAUUCACAUGGAAGAUGAAUGCAAGCCAGUUCGAGAUGCUCAAAGAAGACUGAAUCCACCUAUGAUGGAAGUAGUAAAAAAAGAAAUAGUCAAGCUCCUUGAUGCAGGUAUCAUCUACCCAAUCUCUGAUAGCAAAUGGGUGAGUCCUGUGCAUGUAGUCCCAAAGAAAACUGGGAUCACCAUUGUUCCAAAUGCUGAAGGAGAACUUAUUCCAACUAGAGUUCAAAAUGGAUGGAGAGUAUGCAUGGACUAUAGGAAGCUCAAUGCUGCAACAAGGAAGGACCACUUCCCAUUGCCUUUCAUUGAUCAGAUGCUAGAAAGGCUUGCAGGUAAAACUCACUAUUGUUGUCUUGAUGGUUAUUCAGGUUUCUAUCAAAUUCCAGUUGCCCCAAAGGACCAAGAGAAAACCACCUUCACUUGUCCCUUUGGCACUUUUGCCUUUAGAAGAAUGCCAUUUGGACUAUGCAAUGCACCUGCCACUUUUCAACGGUGCAUGAUGAGCAUAUUUUCUGACUACGUGGGUAAGACAAUUGAGGUAUUUAUGGAUGACUUCACAGUUCAUGGAAAUUCUUUUGAUGAAUGCCUUACCAAUUUAGAAAAGAUCUUGCAAAGAUGCAUUGAGACUAACCUUGUGCUUAAUUAUGAAAAAUGCCAUUUUAUGGUUAAUCAAGGUAUGGUCUUAGGUCAUGUUUUUUCAGCUAAAGGCAUUGAAGUGGACAAAGCAAAGGUGGAUACCAUCAAAAAUCUGCCUUAUCCCACAACUGUUAAAGACAUCCAAUCAUUCCNNNN